AGACCCGAAACCCGGUGAUCUAGCCAUGGGCAGGUUGAAGGUUGGGUAACACUAACUGGAGGACCGAACCGACUAAUGUUGAAAAAUUAGCGGAUGACCUGUGGCUGGGGGUGAAAGGCCAAUCAAACCGGGAGAUAGCUGGUUCUCCCCGAAAGCUAUUUAGGUAGCGCCUCGUGAAUUCAUCUCCGGGGGUAGAGCACUGUUUCGGCUAGGGGGCCAUCCCGGCUUACCAACCCGAUGCAAACUGCGAAUACCGGAGAAUGUUAUCACGGGAGACACACGGCGGGUGCUAACGUCCGUCGUGAAGAGGGAAACAACCCAGACCGCCAGCUAAGGUCCCAAAGUCAUGGUUAAGUGGGAAACGAUGUGGGAAGGCCCAGACAGCCAGGAUGUUGGCUUAGAAGCAGCCAUCAUUUAAAGAAAGCGUAAUAGCUCACUGGUCGAGUCGGCCUGCGCGGAAGAUGUAACGGGGCUAAACCAUGCACCGAAGCUGCGGCAGCGACGCUUAUGCGUUGUUGGGUAGGGGAGCGUUCUGUAAGCCUGUGAAGGUGGCCUGUGAGGGUUGCUGGAGGUAUCAGAAGUGCGAAUGCUGACAUAAGUAACGAUAAAGCGGGUGAAAAGCCCGCUCGCCGGAAGACCAAGGGUUCCUGUCCAACGUUAAUCGGGGCAGGGUGAGUCGACCCCUAAGGCGAGGCCGAAAGGCGUAGUCGAUGGGAAACGGGUUAAUAUUCCCGUACUUGGUGUUACUGCGAAGGGGGGACGGAGAAGGCUAUGUUGGCCGGGCGACGGUUGUCCCGGUUUAAGCGUGUAGGCUGGUUUUCCAGGCAAAUCCGGAAAAUCAAGGCUGAGGCGUGACGACGAGGCACUACGGUGCUGAAGCAACAAAUGCCCUGCUUCCAGGAAAAGCCUCUAAGCAUCAGGUAACAUCAAAUCGUACCCCAAACCGACACAGGUGGUCAGGUAGAGAAUACCAAGGCGCUUGAGAGAACUCGGGUGAAGGAACUAGGCAAAAUGGUGCCGUAACUUCGGGAGAAGGCACGCUGACACGUAGGUGAAGUGAUUUACUCAUGGAGCUGAAGUCAGUCGAAGAUACCAGCUGGCUGCAACUGUUUAUUAAAAACACAGCACUGUGCAAACACGAAAGUGGACGUAUACGGUGUGACGCCUGCCCGGUGCCGGAAGGUUAAUUGAUGGGGUCAGCGCAAGCGAAGCUCCUGAUCGAAGCCCCGGUAAACGGCGGCCGUAACUAUAACGGUCCUAAGGUAGCGAAAUUCCUUGUCGGGUAAGUUCCGACCUGCACGAAUGGCGUAAUGAUGGCCAGGCUGUCUCCACCCGAGACUCAGUGAAAUUGAACUCGCUGUGAAGAUGCAGUGUACCCGCGGCAAGACGGAAAGACCCCGUGAACCUUUACUAUAGCUUGACACUGAACAUUGAGCCUUGAUGUGUAG
RNAcentral lists this ribosomal RNA (1448 nucleotides) under Salmonella enterica. RNAcentral's name for it is "partial 23S ribosomal RNA". It matches the Rfam family "Bacterial large subunit ribosomal RNA", at positions 711 to 2141 of the family's 2925-position model. Lineage: Bacteria; Pseudomonadati; Pseudomonadota; Gammaproteobacteria; Enterobacterales; Enterobacteriaceae. The record is from RNAcentral. RNAcentral also lists the same sequence under 3 other names.